Molecule: long non-coding RNA, 258 nt
Filed under: Capsicum annuum
Lineage: Eukaryota; Viridiplantae; Streptophyta; Magnoliopsida; Solanales; Solanaceae
Description: long non-coding RNA (CANN_LNC001586)
Source: RNAcentral
ACCGCAGGGUAACCACCUGUAACAACAUAGUCAAAAGAGAGAACCGAGGUUCCUCGAUCUCUUUCCAUCGUAGUUACACCCACUUCACCGUCAAACAACCUCAGAACAACUAGUGAAUCAUCAUUCGGUUCCAAAAUCAAAUCUGAAUCAAGUGUGUUAAGGAGUGGAAUUUUGUUGAGGGUGAGGGUUCUUGAUUGAUUGUUGAUAAAUUAAAUAUGUAUGCAUAUGCUCUCACAAUGAAUGUUUUGAUGAUAGACA